ACGGAGGGUGCGAGCGUUAAUCGGAAUCACUGGGCGUAAAGCGCACGUAGGCGGUGUCGUAAGUCGGAUGUGAAAGCCCUCGGCUCAACCGGGGAACUGCAUUCGAUACUGCGAUGCUUGAGUGCCGGAGAGGGUGGCGGAAUUCCAGGUGGAGGAGUGAAAGCCGUAGAUAUCUGGAGGAGCGCCAGUGGCGAAGGCAGACACCUGGCAGGAAACUGACGCUGAGGUGCGAAAGCGUGGGGAUCAAACAG
This 251-nucleotide ribosomal RNA is filed under the name uncultured prokaryote. RNAcentral describes it as "partial 16S rRNA". It matches the Rfam family "Bacterial small subunit ribosomal RNA", at positions 525 to 775 of the family's 1533-position model. The record is from RNAcentral.